AAGAAUGAAGAGCUGGUCACACCUCUCUUGAGACAUUGGGUGUGAGGCCAACACCUGAAGAUGCUGCUGCUACUGCUGCUUCCGUUGCUUCUGGGACCCAGCUCUGGACUCAGUGCUCACGUCUCUCAAAGUCCAAGCAGGGUCAUCUGUGCAAGCGGGAUCCCCGUGACAAUCGAGUGCCAUGCAGUGGACAUUCAGGCCUCAACUAUAUUUUGGUAUCAGCAGUUCCCGAAUCAGGGCCUCGUACUGAUGGUGACUUCCAACAUGGGCUCACCUGCCACACACGAACAAGGUUUCUCCAAGGACAACUUUCCCAUCAGCCACCCAAACCUGACUUUCUCAGCUCUGACGGUGGCCAGUGCACGCCCUGAACACAGCGGCCUCUACUUCUGUGCUGCCAGUGACACAGCGCUGGGCAGAGAUCAGAGGCCCAGGAGACGUCAAUGA
Non-coding RNA from Artibeus jamaicensis (Jamaican fruit-eating bat), 447 nucleotides. The record is from the annotation of a RefSeq genome assembly. NCBI's taxonomy places the organism in Eukaryota, Metazoa, Chordata, Mammalia, Chiroptera, Phyllostomidae.